UCAAAGGAGGAGGUGGCGCUCUAAGCGGAUUUAUAAGUGGGCGGGGCUGCUGGCUGAAGGUUACGGGUCACUCUUGAAAUAGAUGUUAAGAGCUGUGGGUUUAGUAAAAAGACGAGAAUUCUGCAGGUACACCUUGUAAAUUGUUUCUAGAAAGCAGCCACUAAUUAGUUAAGGUUGAAGUUUAUCUCACUCAGAAGUUAUUUUAAAACACUCUCCAGGGAGAUGUCAGAUUUAUUUCAAAGGCCAAGGUUUGUUCUGUCUCCACUGCUGCAAGCUCAACCUGUAAUCUGAAAACUCUGCCUCUCAUCAUUUAUAAAGUAAAAUGUGUAAUCUAUACCCAAAAUGCUGCACAGGACAUGGAUUUAUGACAUAAGGAGAACGGAAUUCACCAUUUCUUUCAUCAAGAUCUUUUCCAAUGAGCCAGCUCUUCACAUCAGGUGGCCAAAAUAUUGGAGCUUCAACUUCAGCAUCAAUACUUCCAAUGAAUGUUAAGACUUAAUUUUGUUUAGGGUUGACUGGUUUGAUCUCCUGCCUGUCCAAGGGACUCUCAAGAGUC
Molecule: non-coding RNA, 556 nt
Organism: Odocoileus virginianus texanus
Lineage: Eukaryota; Metazoa; Chordata; Mammalia; Artiodactyla; Cervidae
Source: RefSeq, a predicted model, not a curated record